CAGCCGUAAACUAUGCGCGUUAGGUGUACUGGUGACCACGAGUCACCGGGGUGCCGAAGGGAAACCGUGAAACGUGCCGCCUGGGAAGUACGGUCGCAAGGCUGAAACUUAAAGGAAUUGGCGGGGGGAGCACCACAACGGGUGGAGCCUGCGGUUUAAUUGGACUCAACGCCGGAAAUCUCACCGGAUAGGACAGACAUAUGAUAGUCGGGCUGUAAGACUCUACUUGAUGAUCUGAGAGGUGGUGCAUGGCGUCAGUGACU
Molecule: ribosomal RNA, 263 nt
Filed under: uncultured archaeon
Lineage: Archaea
Description: partial 16S ribosomal RNA
Rfam family: Archaeal small subunit ribosomal RNA
Source: RNAcentral